RNAcentral lists this ribosomal RNA (253 nucleotides) under uncultured bacterium. Its description in RNAcentral is "partial 16S ribosomal RNA". It matches the Rfam family "Bacterial small subunit ribosomal RNA", at positions 524 to 776 of the family's 1533-position model. The record is from RNAcentral.
GACGGAGGAUGCAAGCGUUAUCCGGAAUUAUUGGGCGUAAAGCGUACGUAGGCGGCCUAUCAAGUCCGGGGUCAAAUCCCGCGGCUCAACUGCGGAGGGGCCUCGGAAACUGGCAGGCUGGAGGGUGGUAGGGGUAGAGGGAAUUCCCGGUGUAGCGGUGAAAUGCGUAGAUAUCGGGAAGAACACCGGCGGCGAAAGCGCUCUACUGGGCCGCACCUGACGCUGAGGUACGAAAGCUAGGGGAGCGAAUGGG